Molecule: ribosomal RNA, 404 nt
Filed under: uncultured bacterium
Lineage: Bacteria
Description: bacterial SSU rRNA
Rfam family: Bacterial small subunit ribosomal RNA
Source: RNAcentral
CUAAGAAUCUUGCGCAAUGGGCGAAAGCCUGACGCAGCAAUUCCGCGUGGGGGACGAAGGCCCUCGGGUCGUAAACCCCUUUUGUGAGGGAAGAAGUUCUGACGGUACCUCACGAAUAAGACACGGCUAACUACGUGCCAGCAGCCGCGGUAAUACGUAGGUGUCGAGCGUUGUCCGGAUUUAUUGGGCGUAAAGAGCCCGCAGGCGGCUUGGUAAGUUCGAGGUGAAAUCUCCCGGCUCAACUGGGAGGGUGCCUCGAAAACUAUCAGGCUUGAGGCAGGGAGAGGGAUGUGGAAUUCCCGGUGUAGUGGUGAAAUGCGUAGAUAUCGGGAGGAACACCAGUGGCGAAGGCGGCCUUCUGGACGGCUACUGACGCUGAGACGCGAAAGCGUGGGGAGCAAACA